GCUUAGCGCCCCCUCGCGGCCCAAGUGCGCAUAUGCAUUUAACGUUGUUGUGCUGCAAUCUCUACAGGGGCGAUGAAAAAAUCUUUGGCGAAUGUUGUGGCAUCUGGCGCUGACACGACCAACUCUCUCUGUCUGUCCCCAACAGUUUAUUUAUUUCGCAAGAAUUCCGUGGAGGAAACAUUUUUUUCCAUGUUUGAAGUCUUGCUUGGUGAUGGAAUGAGUCAUUUUCUGAAGCAAUGAGAUGGAAGGAACCUUCAUAGCAUCCAACAAACAAGGAUUUCUAUGAGGCAUUGUGUUUUCCACAUUGCAGACCUCUGUAUCACCAACUUAAAUGAGCCUCCACCUGUCCACCAUGAUCUCCCCCAAACUUAAUCCACACCUCUUCUUCAGGAAUUGCCCCAUCGUGAGUUGUGAGAAAUCCAUUCCUGUGGAAAGAUGAUGGAACAUGAACAUAUGGUCUGUGACUCUGCUAUGGACCUAGUGAAUCACUGUUGACUGUCCAUAGUUCAAGUGAGGAUUGGCAAACCUGGUCAUUUCUUGAUUACCUACAGAAUGCAAUUGCAACAUAUGCAAAAUCUUAUGCAGGAAUGGGGCUAUAGCAGUGAUGGGACACUACAUUUGACUGUGAAGAUCAGACGAUGCAAUUCCCGUUGGUCAGCCCCCCCCCCCACCCCAAGGAGCCAUGCACUGCCAGAGAUCUUGAGCCAGGUCUUCAGUGGUUAUCCAUUGAUAAGAAGAACGGAGAUAAUAAAGACAGUGAGGUAUCUUGUUGAUUUCGACGUGACCAUCUUCCUAACGCUUCUUCCAAACAAUGAACUGGAGGCUCUUUCCACGAAUGAAUGUUUAGCUGCUUCAAGUGUGAUUCCAGCUUUUUCAAGAGCUUCUUGUUGUUCUACUUCUACUGGCCUUUAUUGUAGUUAACAUGUCCUGUGAAUGUUUUUAGGAGCCCAGUUUUGCUACAAACACAGUAAACCUCAAGUUCACAUAUAGUUAAAAAACGGUCUACUUGUAACAUUAUCUAGGAAAAAGUUCUACAAAUUGGACAUGGUGAAACUUUUCAUUCAUUAUGUUUUCAGUAUUUACUGAGGUACUCACUACAAAAG
Long non-coding RNA from Lytechinus variegatus (green sea urchin), 1103 nucleotides. RefSeq lists it as uncharacterized. The record is from RefSeq and is a predicted model, not a curated record. NCBI's taxonomy places the organism in Eukaryota, Metazoa, Echinodermata, Echinoidea, Temnopleuroida, Toxopneustidae. The transcript is spliced from 4 exons.